Long non-coding RNA from Poeciliopsis prolifica (blackstripe livebearer), 479 nucleotides. RefSeq lists it as uncharacterized. The transcript has 3 exons. NCBI's taxonomy places the organism in Eukaryota, Metazoa, Chordata, Actinopteri, Cyprinodontiformes, Poeciliidae. The record is from RefSeq and is a predicted model, not a curated record.
UCUUACAAUGGCUUUGUGUAGUGUGUGUCUUUGCUUUGUUUCUUCUGUGUACUAUAAAGAGAUUGCGUGCAUAAAAAGAAAAGCUUGUCGUAGGCCAGCAAAGAAACCGAGUUUAGAGUCAGACACACAAACGUGUUUCUCUACCUUUCCAAGGACUUCGCUUUGAGUUGCAUUCAUUUCUGCAGGCUAACCGCGACGCUAACCACAAAACUAACCACUGCCAAGACAGACCCAACAUUAAACCUGACCUCAAAAUGACACUGCUCAUGGAAACCAGGGUUUGGGCCCCAAAACAUGGAGACACAGAAGAGAUUGGAGGUGGUGGGUGGAUUCAUGCCAUGUUGCCACAUCAGUCUCCUCCAGCGGAUGGGCCAGGAGAACAUCUGAGAGCAUUCAGUGCAAAGUGUUGGAGAGCAGCCUGGAAACCCGGGCAGGAAAGUCUGAGGGCUUGGACAGCAGAUUGGAGUCUUCACCUGUGA